CCACACGAUUCUACUUGGUCAGUACUACCUACCUGACUAAACUUCAUGUCUCAAUUCCAAUGUCAACUAAUGUAAAGAAUUACCAACCACAGUUCAACCAAUGGAUGAGGAAGAAAGAGAACACUGAAAUUAAUUUGGAUACUUGCUACUGAAAAAAACCGAAUCGUCUACUAUGGUACUGUUUGCUGUUGACUUUCCACCUUUGACGAUUUUACAGUCGGUUGAGGAACACUGUGGAUGUCGUGUUUCAGUCUUAUUAUACUUGAUACUCCAGUACAUGCUAAUACCUAAAGGAAGCAAAAAGAUGCCUUUUUUCGACUGAAAACAAAGGCAGCAUGUUAUAAUUAGAAAAAAGGAUUUAUGACGCUUGAUUGAUUAGUAACAACAUUAUGUUAAAAGCAAUAUGUGUGAAGUUUUGACCUAUCUCUUGGACAUUUCUAAUCUACAUUUUUAGUAGAGUCAACUUUUACAUGUCAGCUUUGUUAUCCUUAAUACAAACUAUGCAUAAAUUUUGACUCUAAUUUUGAAUACUGUGCCUAAUUUGUUUUUCUUGCUCAUUUUUACAGAUUGGACAACAAAUUAGAGAGGCUGAUCAUAUUGAAACAAUCAAUGUCUACACUUUACUAGACUGUAUUGAUUUGCUGUUUUUGUCCUCACAUUGAAACAUUAUUCAGUUAAUUUUCAAAACAUUAGCGAAAACAAGAGGAAAUUUAUCUAAAUUCCACUGAAUCAAGAAGUUAUCUUCUAUUGUAUUCCUCCUGGAUUUGGUUUGCUUUUCACACAUAAAAACUUUGGAAUGUUACAGUCUAUUGUUCAUUAAGAUCAACAGUGGAGAAGACAGAAGAUCCCGUAGUUAAAAUACUUCUUUAUUUUGCAUGUUUUUUGUAGUGUAUUUUAUUUGAAUUAAUUUUUGUUUGUAGAGGUUAUUAUUAUUUUUUUGUAGUAGUGUACUAACACAUCUUUCUUAGUAGCAGUUAAAUAGUAGUCUAACAUGUCUCUUGCUUACCUUUUCGCUUAGCUUACUGCAUAUUCUUCCUAAUUUGCUUCGCAUUUACCCUACGUUUUCUAUAUGAUUCAACGUUUCAUUAUUGUGUUUUAUUCUCUUCUCAGCCUUGUGGAACUUGGCCUUAGCUUUUUAGUUGAUCUUAAAAGUGUUUAUACACUUUUCGCGAGUCUACUCAAGCGUUACUUCCUUUCAGACAGGGUACAGU
Long non-coding RNA from Agrilus planipennis (emerald ash borer), 1211 nucleotides. RefSeq lists it as uncharacterized. The record is from RefSeq and is a predicted model, not a curated record. Lineage: Eukaryota; Metazoa; Arthropoda; Insecta; Coleoptera; Buprestidae. The transcript has 3 exons.